GAACUGCGAUAAGUAAUGUGAAUUGCAGAAUUCAGUGAAUCAUCGAGUCUUUGAACGCACAUUGCGCCCCCUGGCAUUCCGGGGGGCAUGCCUGUCCGAGCGUCAUUGCUGCCCUUCAAGCCCGGCUUGUGUGUUGGGUCGUCGUCCCCCCCGGGGGACGGACCCGAAAGGCAGCGGCGGCACCGUGUCCGGUCCUCGAGCGUAUGGGGCUUUGUCACCCGCUCGAUUAGGAACGGCCGGGCGCCCGCCGGCGUCAAACCCCAAUCUUUCUAAGGUUGACCUCGGAUCAGGUAGGGAUACCCGCUGAACUUAAGC
RNAcentral lists this unclassified non-coding RNA (315 nucleotides) under plant metagenome. RNAcentral's name for it is "partial contains 5.8S ribosomal RNA, internal transcribed spacer 2, and large subunit ribosomal RNA". The stretch from base 1 to 105 matches the Rfam family "5.8S ribosomal RNA", at positions 50 to 154 of the family's 154-position model. The record is from RNAcentral.